This 465-nucleotide ribosomal RNA is filed under the name uncultured Klebsiella sp. RNAcentral's name for it is "bacterial SSU rRNA". It matches the Rfam family "Bacterial small subunit ribosomal RNA", at positions 338 to 795 of the family's 1533-position model. Lineage: Bacteria; Pseudomonadati; Pseudomonadota; Gammaproteobacteria; Enterobacterales; Enterobacteriaceae. The record is from RNAcentral.
CCUACGGGCGGCAGCAGUGGGGAAUAUUGCACAAUGGGCGCAAGCCUGAUGCAGCCGUGCCGCGUGUGUGAAGAAGGCCUUCGGGUUGUAAAGCACUUUCAGCGGGGAGGAAGGCGUUAAGGUUAAUAACCUUGUCGAUUGACGUUACCCGCAGAAGAAGCACCGGCUAACUCCGUGCCAGCAGCCGCGGUAAUACGGAGGGUGCAAGCGUUAAUCGGAAUUGCUGGGCGUAAAGCGCACGCAGGCGGUCUGUCAUGUCGGAUGUGAAAUCCCCGGGCUCAACCUGGGAACUGCAUUCGAAACUGGCAGGCUAGAGUCUUGUAGAGGGGGGUAGAAUUCCAGGUGUAGCGGUGAAAUGCGUAGAGAUCUGGAGGAAUACCGGUGGCGAAGGCGGCCCCCUGGACAAAGACUGACGCUCAGGUGCGAAAGCGUGGGGAGCAAACAGGAUUAGAUACCCGUGUAGUC